RNAcentral lists this ribosomal RNA (429 nucleotides) under Acidobacteriota bacterium. RNAcentral's name for it is "Acidobacteria bacterium partial 16S ribosomal RNA". It matches the Rfam family "Bacterial small subunit ribosomal RNA", at positions 355 to 776 of the family's 1533-position model. Lineage: Bacteria; Pseudomonadati; Acidobacteriota. The record is from RNAcentral.
UGGGGAAUUUUGGACAAUGGGGGAAACCCUGAUCCAGCCAUCCCGCGUGUGCUAUGAAGGCCUUCGGGUUGUAAAGCACUUUUGGCAGGAAAGAAACGUCAUGGGUUAAUACCCCGUGAAACUGACGGUACCUGCAGAAUAAGCACCGGCUAACUACGUGCCAGCAGCCGCGGUAAUACGUAGGGUGCAAGCGUUAAUCGGAAUUACUGGGCGUAAAGCGUGCGCAGGCGGUUCGGAAAGAAAGAUGUGAAAUCCCAGAGCUCAACUUUGGAACUGCAUUUUUAACUACCGGGCUAGAGUGUGUCAGAGGGAGGUGGAAUUCCGCGUGUAGCAGUGAAAUGCGUAGAUAUGCGGAGGAACACCGAUGGCGAAGGCAGCCUCCUGGGAUAACACUGACGCUCAUGCACGAAAGCGUGGGGAGCAAACAGG